This 4301-nucleotide long non-coding RNA is filed under the name Gallus gallus (chicken). RNAcentral's name for it is "long non-coding RNA NONGGAT011947". Lineage: Eukaryota; Metazoa; Chordata; Aves; Galliformes; Phasianidae. The record is from RNAcentral.
AUUCUCCCAAAAUCCACUUAGCAUUUCUGAAGACUUCCAGUAGAAAAGAGCCUGAAGCAUUUUACAUCAGCGUCACACAAGCAGGGAACAAGAAGGAAAUUUUUAGCUUGAUUUUCUGUUAAGGUGCACCUUCAGGCUUUCCUGUCCCCGUUGUAAACAAACAGCUCUUCAUCAUCUCAGCUAAAGGUGUAAGCAAGCAUUCCAUCCAAAGAUUGUUCCAGACAGGCAGGCUAUGCAGAGACUUAAAAUAGAUUGUUACCGUGUUACUUAAUUAAAUUCAGACUGACCAGUUUAGAAUAUACCAAGUCCAACAGGGCAAAUGAACAGUGUCACAAGGCAUUUCUAGGGAGAGGAGGCACAAAUUAUUUAAUACUCACUCUUUGGCACAGAGGACAGAGUCAGCUCUUUCUUGUAUUUUUCCAUUACAGUAGCUAUUUUUAAUCUUGUGGCUUAACUAAUAUAACAGCUCCCUCCUCAAAUUACUCCUGCCACCCCAAUAACAACAAACACUUUUGAGAAGAACUUAUGCACUUUAAGAAACAGUGUGAGAAAAGCGGAUAGGAAAAUCCUGCAUAAAAGCAGAAGGAGAGCAUCCCACGUACAAUCCUAUCCACAGCUGCCUGAGCCAAGAAGUCCAUUUUCGUUGGCCACAGCACAAAGACUGAAAACUAAUAAAAACUGGUUAAAAAAAAAAAAAAAACCUGCAGCUAGAAUACAAAAAAAUUCUGCUCAAAUAUGAGCAAAAAUUAUCUUCCUUUUUAUAGUUAAUGUUUCUUGCUGACCAAAUGCUGUGCAUCAGACCGGAAGGGAAUGUCACUUUUGAGCAGCUCUACAAGUGCAGAGAUUGCUUCAGCAAGCAGUGCUCAGCUGAUGUUAUGCAUAUAGGUAAGCCAGUAUAAACCUUUGCAGGUUGUUACUGUGCUCUGUAUUGUCAAUGAAAGGAAAUUCAGCCACGACCUCCAGCCAUCAGCCAGCACAACAUAGGAGAAACCUUCAAUAACACGGAAUAGAGCAGACCACUGAGGAUGUGUAUACAUCAACAGAUGUGGCCUAUAAGCAGGAGCUGCAAUUAGCCAUCUUGGCUUACCACUGUCAACAUCCAUUUUGAGACACUGCAUUCCUACACCUCCUGCAUGCUAUUAAUUAGACACAUCCAAAAGCCUCUAAAACAGAAACUGAGCACUAAGCACUGCAGCUAGAAAAAUAAACAAUAAUGGACUAAGGAUUUUCUAAGUUCCAAAUCGUAUCACUUUCAUUUACCAUAUUCUUUCAUGUCUUACUUCUACAGCAUGUAUGACUAGAUCAUGAGACAGUGUGGAUAAGUAACUAGCACACUGAAGACAAAAGCAUAAGCGUUUCCAAAAUAAUUCAUUUUAAUUCUACCCACAAGUGAAUAGUAUACAUCCUUGUUCUCCAGUGACUACAAAGGAAGUUCAUCCACUUGUGGUUUUAUCUUGUAUCUGCCACAGUUAAUCCUAAUAUUUCAAUAUAAAAGCUGAUAUCCGUUUUGAACUUAAGAUUUCAAGGUACUUUCCAAACAUGAUCUACUUAAAGAAAGAUGUGUGAAAUGUUCUUUCCUUCUUGCUUUGUUCUGAACAUUGUUUCAUUCAUCCUAUCCACCUGAGAAUUAAUAAGAACAAAAUUUUAAUACUUGUCUUAUUAGGAGAACAAAUAAUUCUUCAGAACAACUAUCAGACCCAGUAACAACUUGAGGUUAUCUCAUGGAAGAAACUCAAGAAAAAUGAGGGAAAUUCAGUAAGAUGCUAUGUGCACUCUGCUUGGAAGUUAUUGAAUCCUGCUAGACUGACCAUGCUUUGCAACAUUAAGCUUUGCUAAGGACUAUAAGGAUAUGCUCUAAGCUCAAAUCCCUAAGUCUCAGAAAGUACUGUGAUAGAAUUUUGACUGCUCAUAUUCCAUGCAUUUAACAAGCAAAAUCAUACCAGCUAGCAAAGAACACUGGACCAGAAGGAAACAACCAUACUGACCUGUCAUGCAUGUGCCAGUAAAACUGGUAAGAAAAGGAGACAAGAACUCAGUCUUUCUGCCAUAUGGUUUCAUGUAAUUGGGCAGCAAGCAUAAAUAAGUUGUAUUUUCUUGAAGAACCUCAUUACACUACUUGAAGUGAAGACCUGACAGUGUUUUUCACAAGGCUGAUUUCACUUUUCACAAUACCUAACAACAAUAACCUGACACACACAUGGUUUAAAACCUCUACAUGAUCGUAAGCAUGGGCUGCUGUCUGAAUUCUUGCAAUGUGAUUUAAAAUUUCAGCAAAAUCUCCAGCAAUGUGCAAAUAUACAAACUCAAGAAAAAUAGCAAGGCAUGACCAUGAACAGCAGCUAACAUACAGGUUACAUCUAGAAACGUUUCUAUCUAAAAGGAAAUGUACAAAUACGGCCCUCUACUUCAGGAAGCACCCUUCUGAAUGACUCCAUUCCUGCUUCAGCAGUAAUACAAACCACUGACAAUCCAGCAGCAUCACACAGCCCCUGCUAAAUGUGGGGAAGAAAUAAAGUUGGUACUAUGCUUCAACCAGAAUAUUUCUAUUUCUGAAUUAUGAGGAAGAAAUUUCCAAAGUACUGAAGAGGAAAGAGAGACGAAUACAGCUUCCAACUUUCUUCACAGUCUUCUCUUUGGUACAACGUGCAGUAGACUCCUCUGCAUAGCCUCAUUAUUCCAUGUGGAGCAAUGAGACAUACUCCUGGGAUUAUGCAAGGAUGUCACUAUUAAGCCCAAGUAUCACACGUACUUUUUCCUUUGGAAAGUUUACAGGAGUGUUGGAGUUAUGAAUAAUUUGCAUGAAGCUGAAUAAUUAAAAACAAUACUCGACAUUACCAUAAAGACUGUAAAGCCACACACACUCACUCUUGCAAGCAGAAUGGAGUACUGCAGAAUCUGUAAACCCACGCUCUAGCAUUUCUGCAAAUCAUGAGACAACUUUAAUACCAUGGAGCACAAAAGCAAGAGUAAACAGAAAUUUAUUCACCUAGGCAAGAAAUUAGGUGCCGGGGCUCUUUGAUUUUUGAGGAAGAUGCUACACUAGUUACAGACACUCUUCCUCAACAGACUCAAACUGAGAAGAAUGCAGAAAAAUAGCACAGGAUUUUUCACACCAUAGUUUUUUGAUACUGUAAAGCUCUCACCUUGGGGUCCAAUAAAAAAAAAUGUGGAGUACACAGGACGUAUGACACUUUGAUGUUUGAGUAUGCUCAGUGACCAAGGAACAUGAAGAGACAGCUCUGAAGAGAUCUGAACAUCAUCUGAUGGACAGAAGGAGAAAGAGAAAUGGGGACAGAAAGAAUAAGAGUGAUAGCAGGGAAAUAGAGUGAGCAGAAACAGAGCUAUCAGAGGAGAUAACAAAGACCAGAGAGGAGGAAAGGAGGCAAAGGGGAGGAAAAGAGAAUCUGCAUGGAAAGAACUGCAUGUAUAAGGGAGGGGGGUUGUGGAAGUGAGAGAGAGGUGAAGAAGCUUGUGCACUGGCAGGAGGGAGAGAGGCAGUGUGGAGAGAUGGUGAGAGAGAGAGGAGAGGACACAGGGGAAAUUGUAGGUGGAGACAGGAGAGCAGAGAAAGGAAAGAGAAGCAAAAAGCACACAAUGGGCACAGAAGCAUGGAGAGGGACAAAGAGAAGAGCAUGAAUGAGGGAUGGGUUGGGAGAGUCAGCAAGAAGGGAGAGAAAUGAUUGGGAGGGAGGGAAGAGACAAAGGUGGAGAGCAGAAGCAAGUGAGGGAAAGGCAAGCAAGGAGCAAAGAAGGAAAGGGUAAGGAAGGCAUUAGGAAAGAAGUGCAGGGAAGGAGAAAAGAGACAGAAGGCAAACAAGAGGAUGUGAGGACAUAGGAAAGUACAAGGAAAGGGAGAAAAGAUGCAGAAAGAGUGAAUGAGCAAGGUAAAAAUAGAGGAGAAUAAGCAAGAAAAGGGGUUUGGAAAGGAGUACAGACAUCACUGAGGCAAAGACAGAAAUAGGAACAGACAAAAAGAAAGCAGUGUGUGGCUAAAAGGGGGAAAGAGCAAAUAGUGUCAGGCACAUGGAAAUAAAAGCAAAGGUAAGACAGCAAGCAAACAAGAAAGGAGACGGAGGUGGGAAUAGCAUGCACAGACAUGAGUGGCAGAAAGUGAGGUAAGGGAAGAAGGCAGAAGCAAAAAGGCAGAGUGAAAAGACUGAGCAAGAGGUAAAGAGACACAGCAGGACAAAUUCAACAUGACAGAGGAAAAGAGGAAAAAGAGGGGAGACAGAUUAAGAGCAUGAACGGUGGAGACAGAGGGGAGCAGGAGAGUGAAAAGAAGACAGUGAGCAGGGGGCAGA